RNAcentral lists this ribosomal RNA (477 nucleotides) under uncultured bacterium. Its description in RNAcentral is "partial 16S ribosomal RNA". It matches the Rfam family "Bacterial small subunit ribosomal RNA", at positions 30 to 507 of the family's 1533-position model. The record is from RNAcentral.
AUUGAACGCUGGCGGCAUGCCUUACACAUGCAAGUCGAACGGUAACAGGUUAAGCUGCCGAGUGGCGAACGGGUGAGUAAUGUAUCGGAACGUGCCCAGUCGUGUGGGAUAACUGCUCGAAAGAGCAGCUAAUACCGCAUACGACCUGAGGGUGAAAGCGGGGGAUCGCAAGACCUCGCGCGAUUGGAGCGGCCGAUAUCAGAUUAGGUAGUUGGUGAGGUAAAGGCUCACCAAGCCGACGAUCUGUAGCUGGUCUGAGAGGACGACCAGCCACACUGGGACUGAGACACGGCCCAGACUCCUACGGGAGGCAGCAGUGGGGAAUUUUGGACAAUGGGCGCAAGCCUGAUCCAGCCAUGCCGCGUGCGGGAAGAAGGCCUUCUGGUUGUAAACCGCUUUUGUCAGGGAAGAAAAGGUUCUGGCUAAUACCUGGGACUCAUGGCGGUACCUGAAGAAUAAGCACCGGCUAACUACGUG